RNAcentral lists this ribosomal RNA (374 nucleotides) under Entalinidae sp. RNAcentral's name for it is "partial 16S ribosomal RNA". It matches the Rfam family "Bacterial large subunit ribosomal RNA", at positions 1952 to 2601 of the family's 2925-position model. Lineage: Eukaryota; Metazoa; Mollusca; Scaphopoda; Gadilida; Entalinidae. The record is from RNAcentral.
GAAGGUAGCAUAAUAAUUUGCCUUUUAAUUGAAGGCUGGAAUGAAGGGCUGAACACGAUAAUAGCUGUCUCUUAUUUAUUUUAUAGAAAUUAACUUUCUAGUGAAUAGGCUAGAAUAAAGGAAAAAGACAAGAAGACCCUACGAGUUUAUUAUUUAGCUGGGGCGGCUACAGAGAGAAAUAAACCUCUGUAUUAAUUAAUUCUUUAAGGAGGAAACUUUUAUAAGAAUGGGCAAACUACCGUAGGGAUAACAGGAUAAUUUAUUUUUAGAGUUCUAAUCGAAAAAAAAGUUUAUUACCUCGAUGUUGGAUUAGGGAUCCUUAAAGGAGCAAAAGCUUUUAGAAGGGAGUCUGUUCGACUUUUAAUCCCCUACAU